Antechinus flavipes (yellow-footed antechinus) is the source of this 3238-nucleotide long non-coding RNA. RefSeq lists it as uncharacterized. The transcript has 3 exons. Lineage: Eukaryota; Metazoa; Chordata; Mammalia; Dasyuromorphia; Dasyuridae. The record is from RefSeq and is a predicted model, not a curated record.
CUCCGCCCUUCCGCGUUCAGCCAAUUGCUGAUCAUUUCCGUUCCCUGUCCUUCCGGAUCAAUCGACAAUCACAAAAGAAAAUUCUCAGAGAGGGAUUCAUUUCUCCUGGAGUCAUUGAGCAGCAAGCACUAUAUUGAUCAUUCCUUGGCCCUUUCUGAAGCAACUCUGGCUCUCAGGUGUUGACAUUGACAAAGAGAAUGGCCACUUCAUCAUGUGAAACAGAGGAGGAAGAGGGAGAAGGAAGAGAUACUAGCAAAAUCACCUGACUAAUGUUACAUAAGGAGAAGAGAAUAAGGAGCUCUUUGUGAAUGACCUCAAUUUUUUUCUAAUGUGAUGGACCAACACACUUACCAAAUGAAUCUGAACAAUCAGGAGAUGUGAGUGGUUAAGAUAAAAGGAUGCCUUUCUCUUCACCAUAGCAACAGGGAACUAGAAUGUUUUUUUUUCUAUUCCAAGGAAGGUCAGAGAUGGUGAGGUGAGAUGAUAAGAUAUGUCCUUGUCCUUUUUCCUCCUCCUCUUCCCUCCAGAGGGAAAAAAAAAAGAAAAUUUUAUGGGGAAUGGUACUUUCUUCUAUUAUGUAGGUUGGAUUUGUAUCCAACUGUUGGUUGGUUGCUCCCUUAUCUAACCUCCAGUCUUUAAAAGGAAAAGGAAUAUUGAAACAGGUUCUUUUACCUGAUUGUGCUUCCCACCUCAUACUGGCUUUGCCUCCAGUCUAUCUCCUUUGGGAAGAAAAAUGAUGCCUUCCAUUCAGUAAGAUCCUUCUCAUAUCUAGUUACACCCUACAUAGAACAAUCUAAAUCCCUACAGGUCUUCAUUCAAAUCCAGUUCUCUGCCCCUACCAACAAAUUUCUUUUUCCCAUUCCCCUCAACCUACUCCCCCAAAGUUUUGGUCAAACAUCACCCAUCCCUUCCACUGUGCCCUCUGUAAUGCUUGUUCCAUGGCAACAAACUUUCCUUCUUUCUAAAUCUUUUUCUCUCCAAUCUAUUUGCUUUUAUUAAAAUCUAACUUCUCCUUGAUGAACACAAACUCUAAACAUCCUUUCCAGUAUUGUCCUUACCUUCAUUCAUUCUCUUUAGCUUAGUGGUCAACAUAAGGGACUUGGAAUAUUCCUUGUUCCCAUUACUAGGGUCUUCCUCCAUCACUCGGUAAUCUCUCCUCCUUUAAGCUUUAUGUUAGAAUCUACCAUCAACAUUCUAGCAGUUGUUCUCUGUAGACCCCCAAGUCAAAACCCUUCCUCAGUUAAUAUGUGGCUGGUAAUUUUUGUCUUCUCCCCAAAUCCUACUCUCAUAUUAGGGCACUUCAGUAUAUUAGUAAAGAGAGCACUGAUCUGAAUUCAAGAAGACCUGAGUUCAAAUCUGGUCUCAUAUUUACUAGAUGUGUGAUUCUAGGUAAGUCAAUUAACUGCUGUUUGCCUCUGUUUCCUCAUUUAUAAAAUGGAGAAAGUAGCACCUACCUCCCAAGGUUGUUGCAAAGAUCAAAUGAGUUCAUUUUAAAGGGCUUAGCACAGUGCUUGGCACAUAGCAAACACUGUGUAAAGGUAAUUAUUAUUACUUUGUUAUCAUUAUCUUGCACUAGACACUCCUCUUUUCCCCAUCUUAAUCUCUUGAUGAAGUAAUUCAAUUCUGUGCUGUCCUCUUUUGAGUCCCUAAUCCCCAUAACAUUGUGCUAAUCGUGUUGUGCUGAGUCUCAGCCUUGGAUCGAUCCCAUCAUUCGCCACUCAUUUCUUGCUGUCCCCAAAUAUGACCACAUCUUCUCCAUCCUGAAUAAACCCUAACGUGUUCUUUUUAUUCCCACAAACUAUCAUAGCAUUUGCCUAUUUUUGCUAACCUUUUUAAAAAGACUAUUAUAGUGCCUUUAAUUUUUAUUUUCUCUUUCCAAUCCCUUACAAUCGGGUUUCUGACAUUCCACUGAAAUUACUCUCUUCAAACUUAGCCAUGAUCUUUUUGUUGUCAUAUCUAAUGGACAUUUCUCAAUCUUCAUUCACCUUGACCUACCUUUGAUAUUACUGAUCACUUUCCCUCCUUGAUAAUCUUUUCUUUCUAGGUUUUAAGAACAUUAUUCUAGUUCUCUACCUAUUGCCUCACCUGUCUUCCUUAGAGUCCCAAGUGAAACAACAUCUUUAGGAAGCUUUUCCCAACCCCAACUAACUUAAUUGUAGUACUUCCCCCUUUAUUAUUUCCUAUUUAUCCUAACAUGUUUUGUAUAGAUUUGUUUGUUGACUCCCUCAAUAGAUUGAGAGUCCUUUGAGGGCAAAGAUUGUUUUUUGCCACUUUCUGUAUCCCUAGUACUUAGCAGUGCCUGGUACAUGGCAGAUGCUUAAUGUAUGUUUAUUGACUGCCUAGAAAUCAGGCAAUAAAUGCCAGACAUUUUAGUAAGCUAUCUUUAUUUCCUCUUCCUAUCCCAUUGGAGGCUAGGGACCAAGCAACACUCUCAUGGAGAACAAGCAGAAGAUAGUAAUGUUUUCUUCUCUCUUCUUCCUUCCUGAUGUACAUACUUCUAUACUCUUCCCACCUCCACUGGAGAACAAGUAAGUCACUCCUGAAGAACAUACAGGAUAUAGCAAAUGAUGUCACAAAAGAUUAAGAUACCUGCCUCUCUAUUUCUGAUUGAACUUCUUCACCAUGUCCCAGAAACCUUUUCAGCCAGGACUCUCAUUUCAUCUCUAGAACUCACCUCAGAAGGACAUUUUACUUCUGAGGACUUCCUCUGGUUGCAUGGCUCCUCACAGAACCUCCUUUUAAAAUAUUCUAAGUCAUACAUCUCUUUCCCAGGCAGCACUCUUCUGUAUUUUUCCAUUAUGCCCCUUCACCAAGUAACUGUUUUUCUUUUCCCUACUACUUUCUUUCUCUUUAUUUACUCUCCAUCCUAACCAAACUGAGCUACCUGGUAUUUACUGAAGUUGGCAUUUCAUAUUUCUGAUUCUCACCCAUGCCCUUAUUUGCUCUCACCUUGACUUCUUAAGAGUCCCUUUUUUCCUUUAAAAUGCAUCUCAUACCACUUUGUACCACUUUCUUGGGGAAUUCUUUUCCUUAAUUGUUAAAAAUCUCAAAUUGGAAUUAUACUGAUCUGUAAUUUCUUGAAUGAAAGGAUCUUUUGUUUUCACAUUUCCAACACCUAAAAUGUUGUCUUGAUCAUAUGAUUGAUUGAAUUAAAUAAAAAUGAGAAGACAUUGCAUGUAAUCACAAUGGUUCCAAUGUGACCUCUUUAAGCAAGCUUUUAAGCUUGCCCUUUUUUUUU